Molecule: ribosomal RNA, 593 nt
Filed under: Xingzhongia hampshirensis
Lineage: Eukaryota; Fungi; Ascomycota; Saccharomycetes; Phaffomycetales; Wickerhamomycetaceae
Description: eukaryotic LSU rRNA
Rfam family: Eukaryotic large subunit ribosomal RNA
Source: RNAcentral
AUAUCAAUAAGCGGAGGAAAAGAAACCAACAGGGAUUGCCUCAGUAACGGCGAGUGAAGCGGCAAAAGCUCAAAUUUGAAAUCUAGUACCUUCGGUGCUCGAGUUGUAAUUUGAAGAUGGUAAUCCUGGCGCUGGCCCUUGUCUAUGUUCCUUGGAACAGGACGUCAUAGAGGGUGAGAAUCCCGUCUGAUGGGGUGUCCAGUGCUAUGUAGGAUGCUAUCGAAGAGUCGAGUUGUUUGGGAAUGCAGCUCUAAGUGGGUGGUAAAUUCCAUCUAAAGCUAAAUAUUGGCGAGAGACCGAUAGCGAACAAGUACAGUGAUGGAAAGAUGAAAAGAACUUUGAAAAGAGAGUGAAAAAGUACGUGAAAUUGUUGAAAGGGAAGGGUAUUAGAUCAGACUUGGUGUUUUAUGAUUAUCUUCUCUUCUUGAGUUGUGCACUCGUAUUUCACUGGGCCAGCAUCGAUUCGGAUGGUAAGAUAAUGACAUUGGAACGUGGCAUCAUUCGUGAUGUGUUAUAGCCUUUGUUGAUAUUGCCUAUCUGGAUCGAGGACUGCGGCUUCUGCCUAGGAUGCUGGCGUAAUGAUCUAAUAUCGC